UAGGAGCUCCGGAGAGGAGCAAAUAUUGCUGCUGCUACUGUAUAGCAAGUGAUGCUGCCGCUAAACCCCCAGGCUCACCGGAAAGCUCAGCGAAGACAGAUCUGGGACAGACACUAAGGGAUCGCUUCCUUACGCUUUGCCAGGAUGUCAAUAAACGUCCACAGCCCAUUGAGCUGGACUGGGCAGUUUGCCUCUCUGAGAGCUAUUGCUUCAGGAUGCCUGCAGAAGAAAACACAGAAAUGGUUUUCAUGACAUUUGAAAGCUUCCACAGUCACUUAGGGAAAACGAAAUGGAUUGUGCCCUACAGCCUUGUUUAUUUUGUGUCAUUUUACAGAAUUCAUUUUCUUGUGUACUCUUUUGUUUUCAAGUAAAAUAUAAUUUUUAAAACCAA
Molecule: long non-coding RNA, 391 nt
Organism: Gopherus flavomarginatus (Mexican gopher tortoise)
Lineage: Eukaryota; Metazoa; Chordata; Testudines; Testudinidae
Exons: 2
Source: RefSeq, a predicted model, not a curated record